GACGAACGCUGGCGGCGUGCUUAACACAUGCAAGUCGAACGGAAAGGCCCUGCUUUUGUGGGGUGCUCGAGUGGCGAACGGGUGAGUAACACGUGAGUAACCUGCCCUUGACUUUGGGAUAACUUCAGGAAACUGGGGCUAAUACCGGAUAGGAGCUCCUGCUGCAUGGUGGGGGUUGGAAAGUUUCGGCGGUUGGGGAUGGACUCGCGGCUUAUCAGCUUGUUGGUGGGGUAGUGGCUUACCAAGGCUUUGACGGGUAGCCGGCCUGAGAGGGUGACCGGCGACCUUGGGACUGAGAUACGGACCAGACGCCUACGUGAGGCAGCAGUGGGGAAUAUUGCACAAUGGGCGGAAGCCUGAUGCAGCAACGCCGCGUGCGUGAUGACGGCCUUCGGGUUGUAAACCGCUUUCUCCUGUGACGAAGCGGGAGUGACGGUAAUGGGUAAAGAAGCACCGGCUAACUACGUG
Molecule: ribosomal RNA, 468 nt
Filed under: uncultured bacterium
Lineage: Bacteria
Description: partial 16S ribosomal RNA
Rfam family: Bacterial small subunit ribosomal RNA
Source: RNAcentral